Long non-coding RNA from Hypanus sabinus (Atlantic stingray), 1399 nucleotides. RefSeq lists it as uncharacterized. NCBI's taxonomy places the organism in Eukaryota, Metazoa, Chordata, Chondrichthyes, Myliobatiformes, Dasyatidae. The record is from RefSeq and is a predicted model, not a curated record. The transcript has 3 exons.
UUCAGGACUGAGAAGGAAGGGGGAAGAUGCCAGAAUGGUGGGCCUCCAGAGGAUGGUUCCCUCCUCUUUCCUCCCAAUUCCAAAGAUAUACUGUUGACAGCCUCUCAAGUGAAAAAGAGCAUGGAAGAAUUUAAUGGGAUUGGAAGCCGAUGAAUCCCCAGGACCUGGUGCUUGGCUUCCCAAAGAAAAAAGUCAUGGAAUUAGUGAACACACCCUUUGUCAUCUGCCUAAAUCCUGCUCUCUGUGGAUCAGCUGCACACGGUUCCCAGUGGUCUCGGUGGGAAGGGUCAACUGCAGCAGAAUUGACAUCAUGUUCUUGGGAAAGUGAUCCAACGUGUCCCUUAUUCCCUUCACCACUGGGCUUGAUUUUCAAAGGUUCUUUUGAAGACCCUGACCUGGAGUUACACGCCUGACUUCGGUUCUUUGCAGAAUGGGAUCUGUUCUCGGGGUUUCAGGACCGGCCGUUGUUCAGCACGCCAAGGGUUCGGCCUGAGAGUCUGGCUCGGAUUUGGAAGCCUAAGAUCUCGGGGCUCUGGAGACGGGCGGAUCGAGGGUCAGUGUCACGGCAGGAGACCCGUGUGUCGUAGGGGGAGUCGGAAAAUCUAUUGCUGUGUGCCCGAAGACCCGGGAUCUUUGCGAUCUUCAGGCACAGAGCUAGAAAAAAGCGAUGUAAUGGACUUUUUAAUGACCUAAUUGUGCUCUUAUAUCUUACGGUCUUAUUUGUCAUGCGUACGUCAAUACAUUGAAACAUAUAGCUGUGUCAAAUCAAAUCAGCUAGGCAUUGUUCAUACAUUUGAAGCAAUAUGCCUGUGAUGCUGUUGCAAGAAAGUUUUUCAACGCAGCUGUGCAUACCACAACCAACCUGACUGACUUCGGCAUCUUCAUUCUAUUUAACUAUAAGAACCUACUGAAAAACUAAAUAAACAUUGACAUUUAAUGUGCUCAUAUUAUAUCAGCAAAUAUUUUGCAUCAAGUGCACUUUUCUUGGCACACUUCCUUCCCAUUGCAUGAUCUUGUAACCUCUGGCAGAGAGACGUCCCUGAAUAUGAUUCACAUUGCAUUUCAUUGGUAAUUGAUACAACUCUCUAAAUUUACCAUGGUUCUUAAGUUCUACUUCUCCUGGAGCUCAGUGGUACUGGCAGUGUACAAAGUUCAAAGUAAAUUCAUUAUCGAAGUACAUAUAUGUACUACCCUGAGUGUUAUAUGUGUGAUGUGUGUGUUAUGUGUACUUCUAUGCUUUACACCCUAGUCUGGAGAACCAUUGUCUCAUUUGGUGGUAUACAUAUAUAUAGGUAAAUGACAAUAAUCUUCAAUAAACUUGACUUAAGAGUCAGUUUCUUGCAGGCAUUCACAAUAGAUAUAAAGAAACACAAUAGAAUCAAUGAAAAACUACACACAA